AAAGGGACAAGCUCUCAAGUGUUUCAAACAAGAGCGGAGUCCACCCUUCAAGUUCAGUUGUCGUUUAACGAGUGGGAAUUUUAUAGGAUGUUUUAAAAGAGGACGACGAUGGUUUACCAGGUCGGACCUGGUUAGUUCGGCCAGUGCUUUGGAGAGUGAAAGGUAGGUAGCCACCUAAGCGGUACUUAGGGCUCGGAUCAUGGCCAGUUUCUAUUUGUUGAUCGUGGGCGUGAAUAUGGUGAUUGAAAGCAACCAACCUGGCUGAGGCGUAGAGGUUAGAUAAUGAGCUCUAUGGUGUCAGGGAAGCAUGGACCAUCUCUUGACUACGUGGUUUUAUCUCGGAGAGGAAUGGAGUGAUGGUUCCGUCUACGCUGACUCAGCGGAUUCUUAUUUACCAACGUAAACUAGACACGUGUGUUUGAGGAAUACGUCAUAAGCUUUGAUAUGGGAGAAAGAUCAUUGGUUGAUCAUUGAUUGCGCAUUUUGACCAAUUUCCUUAUCACUUGUCAGACAAGAGGAAAUGAGGCAUCUGUAGCAAUUCCACAUUGAUUAUCCUUAUUCCGGGACAUCUUUAUGAACCCAGCAUCACCCCAAGUGGUCCCCCACGAGUUCUUGACCAACCAAAAAUGAGAUUCUCCCUCAGAUCCAUAACCAAUAGCCAAAACACCAUGAUCAAGGGCAUAUGGAUUGCAAGAGGGCUCGUCAUACACACCUGAAGCCAAAUGUAAAGUCUUGAAAAUUAGCUUUUUCAUUUUCAGAACAAGUUUUCAAAAGACAUACCAUGAGAAUAGAACUGGAAGGAUUCCAUAGCUGCAUUGAUGGCCACGGAGACUGGACCAACAGUAGCCACAGCCUCCAUGAGUUUUCGUUCAUCGCCUUGAGGAAUAUCAACGUACCCAAUGUCCGUGGCGCCCUUGCCUCUGGCAUAAUAACGACAAGCAAGAUCCAUAAGACCGCCAUCACAGCCGUGAUUUCCCUCCAACUCCGAACAAUCGAUCAAGUUUUGCUCUGAAAGUCCCACCAGGUUGCCCUUCUGGCGGAAAUGCUGACCCUCCAGCGAUCCAGUCUUGACACGAUGAGAAAGAAAAUAAAGGAGUGAUACCAGGAGGUCACAAAAUCUGAACUUACAGCCGAGAAUGCCCAACAAGACCCACAUUGGCCUUGAUCCUUGACGGGUGUAACAGUACCCAUGGUUCUCCAAUCGACUUCGGUGGGCAGGUCAACAUUGGCGGGCGAGAUAAAAGUGGCUCCCACUGAGGAUUUUUUACAAAGUAGCUGUGUUGUCCUAGAUGGGCUCGAUGAUUGUGUUGGGUCACUUUGGCCUUGUUCUCCAUGAAAACCUUCAUGCGGAAUUUUUCCUCGGUCGGACUUGAAUAGUUCUGAGCUGGAAGAAAGAAGAAAUCUUGAAGCACUUCUUGAAGCAAAACAUGACCUGUUUGUCUGAUUACCAUGGG
Tigriopus californicus is the source of this 1454-nucleotide long non-coding RNA. RefSeq lists it as uncharacterized. The record is from RefSeq and is a predicted model, not a curated record. Lineage: Eukaryota; Metazoa; Arthropoda; Copepoda; Harpacticoida; Harpacticidae. The transcript has 4 exons.